Molecule: ribosomal RNA, 119 nt
Organism: Wallemia ichthyophaga EXF-994
Lineage: Eukaryota; Fungi; Basidiomycota; Wallemiomycetes; Wallemiales; Wallemiaceae
Source: Rfam
CUUCAUGGCCAUAGGAUCUUGAAAGCACCGCAUCCCGUCCGAUCUGCGAAGUUAACCAAGAUGCCGCCUGGUUAGUACCAUGGUGGGGGACCACAUGGGAAUCCCUGGUGCUGUGGUUU